Molecule: unclassified non-coding RNA, 395 nt
Filed under: soil metagenome
Description: partial contains 5.8S ribosomal RNA, internal transcribed spacer 2, and large subunit ribosomal RNA
Rfam family: 5.8S ribosomal RNA (bases 1-122)
Source: RNAcentral
GAUGAAGAACGUAGCGAAAUGCGAUACUUGGUGUGAAUUGCAGAAUCCCGUGAACCAUCGAGUCUUUGAACGCAAGUUGCGCCCGAAGCCAUCAGGUUGAGGGCACGUCUGCCUGGGCGUCACAUAUCGUUGCCCAAUGCCUAUUGCAGUGCAAUAGGAAUUUCUAGGGCGAAUGAUGGCUUCCCGUGAGCGUUGUUGCCUCGCGGUUGGUUGAAAAUCGAGUCCUUGGUAGGGUGUGCCAUGGUAGAUGGUGGUCGAGUGAGAACGAUACCGAUCAUGUGCAUGCUCCCCAAAAUAUGGCCUCUAUGACCCACACGCGUCUUUUGACGCUCAUGACGAGACAUCAGGUCAGGCGGGGCUACCCGCUGAAUUUAAGCAUAUCAAUAAGCGGAGGA